AACUUUCGACAACGGAUCUCUUGGCUUUUGCAUCGAUGAAGAACGCCGCGAAAGUGCGAAACGUAAUGUGAAUUGCAGAAUUCAGUGAAUCAUCGAAUCUUUGAACGCAUCUUGCGCCCCUUGGUAUUCCGAGGAGCAUGCCUGUUUGAGUGUCG
RNAcentral lists this ribosomal RNA (155 nucleotides) under Ramaria flavescens. RNAcentral's name for it is "5.8S ribosomal RNA". It matches the Rfam family "5.8S ribosomal RNA". Rfam says of the family: 5.8S ribosomal RNA (5.8S rRNA) is a component of the large subunit of the eukaryotic ribosome. It is transcribed by RNA polymerase I as part of the 45S precursor that also contains 18S and 28S rRNA. Functionally, it is thought that 5.8S rRNA may be involved in ribosome translocation. Lineage: Eukaryota; Fungi; Basidiomycota; Agaricomycetes; Gomphales; Gomphaceae. The record is from RNAcentral.